GGCCCCAUUAGGAAACCCUGGCACUCAAGCCCAGCCCUCCACUUUGUCUUGGCACUCAUUGGCCCUCAGAAGGAUACCCUGAGCUGCAUUCCCACGUGACCCCUCUCCCCAUUUCUGCAGGGCCCAGUGGAACCUCCUCGGCUGCCAAUGGCAUUUCCGGAAAUCCCAACCAAGGUAAUUCUGGAGCCAAGAGCUUACACCCCUACUUCUCCGGGCCCUACUCAGGGUCACCCUUGUCAACCCAUUGCUCCAAACAAAGUGCUCCAAACACACAGGCACGCUCCGUAGGCACCUGCAUUUUUGCAGGCAAGGCUAGAGCUCCCUGCCAUGCAAGAUACCCAACAAUUUUCCCCAGCCACCUUUUCCCCCACUCAUUUUGCCCAUCCAAUGGGCCUUACCUAAACACUGGGUUCCCCACUUGGCCAUUUCCCAGGACCAGUCACAUCCACAGGAGCCAGUGGGACAGGCAGAGCUGAAACCAGCACAAAGGGGAGAUCGCCAGCUGUGAGCAGUAGCUCCAGUGGAGCCAGCCAAGGUCAGUUGCCUUGGGGGACCCUUCUACCACCUGCAUGACACUCCUGCACACUCCACUUCUUGCUCAUGGCUGGCCCACUGAGAGACACUCCCAAUUGCCACUGGCUUCCAACUUCUCCGGCCAUGGGCCAUUCAUUCUCGCCUCUCUUUCUUCCUAUCAGGUGCUACUCCCCAAGCAACAGGCAGCACCAUCAGCCGAAGCAGCGAAGCACUCCGUUCCACAGGAGCCAGUGGGCUCAACUCAGCUCAAACCACCACCCAGGGAAGAUCCACAGCCAUUGGUGCCAGCUCCAGGGGAGCCACUCAAGGUUAGUUAG
Monodelphis domestica (gray short-tailed opossum) is the source of this 851-nucleotide long non-coding RNA. Lineage: Eukaryota; Metazoa; Chordata; Mammalia; Didelphimorphia; Didelphidae. The record is from Ensembl.